UAAGUAAUUCGUUCUAUCGCUUUCCGCCAAAGCGGGAAGAGGAAAGUCGGGGCAGCACAGAGCACCAUACUUCCUAACCGGAAGGUUCCAUUCUGGUGGAGUGGAAACAGCAAGUGCCACAGAAAAUAACUGCCGACGCCGGAGUUUUAGAUGAGGCCCGCCUUCGCUAAAGCUACGGCGGGCGAUGGUGAAAACGUGAGGUAAGAGCUCACGCCUCGGUGUGGCGACACACUGCGGGGGUAAACCUUAUGGGCUGAAAGACCAAAUACAUCAGGGAUUCCGCUACGGCGGAUGAAGGGCUGCUCGCCCGGGCCUGAGGGGUAGGUCGUAAGAGCCUCCCGGCAACGGCAGGCCUAGAUAAAUGAUAGAAUUUCCGCCUUCGGGCGGAUAACAGAAUCCCGCUUAUAGAAUUGCUAUCCAC
Molecule: RNase P RNA, 421 nt
Filed under: Bacteroidales bacterium
Lineage: Bacteria; Pseudomonadati; Bacteroidota; Bacteroidia; Bacteroidales
Description: RNase P RNA component class A
Rfam family: Bacterial RNase P class A
About the family: Ribonuclease P (RNase P) is a ubiquitous endoribonuclease, found in archaea, bacteria and eukarya as well as chloroplasts and mitochondria.
Source: RNAcentral